AGUGAACGCUGGCGGUAGGCCUAACACAUGCAAGUCGAACGGCAGCACAGUAAGAGCUUGCUCUUACGGGUGGCGAGUGGCGGACGGGUGAGGAAUACAUCGGAAUCUACUUUUUCGUGGGGGAUAACGUAGGGAAACUUACGCUAAUACCGCAUACGACCUACGGGUGAAAGCAGGGGAUCUUCGGACCUUGCGCGAUUGAAUGCGCCGAUGUCGGAUUAGCUAGUUGGCGGGGUAAAGGCCCACCAAGGCGACGAUCCGUAGCUGGUCUGAGAGGAUGAUCAGCCACACUGGAACUGAGACAAGGUCCAGACUCCUACGGGAGGCAGCAGUGGGGAAUAUUGGACAAUGGGCGCAGGCCUGAACCAGCCAUGCCGCGUGGGUGAAGAAGGCCUUCGGGUUGUAAAGCCCUUUUGUUGGGAAAGAAAAGCAGCAGGUUAAUACCCCGCUGUUCUGACGGUACCCAAAGAAUAAGCACCGGCUAACUUCGUG
This 492-nucleotide ribosomal RNA is filed under the name uncultured bacterium. RNAcentral's name for it is "partial 16S ribosomal RNA". It matches the Rfam family "Bacterial small subunit ribosomal RNA", at positions 29 to 507 of the family's 1533-position model. The record is from RNAcentral.